Molecule: RNA transcript, 1513 nt
Organism: Xenia sp. Carnegie-2017
Lineage: Eukaryota; Metazoa; Cnidaria; Anthozoa; Malacalcyonacea; Xeniidae
Exons: 3
Source: RefSeq, a predicted model, not a curated record
UUUAAUAGUAUUCUGCCAGCACGUCACGGUAGAUGGAAGAGGCAUCGCUACGUCACAGUAGAUUUGCGAUGCAUCGGUCGAUGCAUCGGUCCCGAGUCCUUUUCCGCGUGAAAUCUACUGUGACAUCAGCAAAACCAUUGUUUUAGGGCCCACGUCACGGUAGAUUUUGCCGCUGAGCGAUGCAUUUUCCAUAAUUUUGUGAUUGUGGGCACAUGGCACCGAUGCAUUCAACUUUGAACUUCAAAGUUGAAUGCAUUGUUAUUUGAUCACUUGAUAUAACUCGCAAUCAUCGAUCGAAGUCAUGGCUGUCGAGAAUAUCAAACACGAUCUGUGUACUCUGCUUCGAGAAGAGAAGUCAUUUGAUAUUAAUGGAGUGCGCCGAACCUAUGAAACGAGAGCUGCUACUUUUAUUUCAAAAUCCUCUCCUUGGAAUCCCUUUUCAAAGGGUAAAAAUGGGAGAGAUAUGUCAAGUGAAAUGUUAAUACCUAAGCACUUGACAGUUCAUUGGCAAAGUGGAGAACUAAGAGCUUUAAAAACUAGAGGUGAUGGUAAUUGUCUGUACAGAGCCUGCUCAAAAUUACUUUGUGGCAAGGAAGACCUAUGUCAUUUGCUGAGAGACUUGACAAGCAUUGAGCUAUUCAAUCACCAGGAGUAUUAUGCUAACCACCCUUACUUAAAAGAUAAGUUGCAUUUUUUUAAGUCAGAAAAUACUGCUUUUCUGCAUCAGUAUCAGAUGUGGCUUUAGGCAAUGGCUAUGAUAGGAAAAAUCCAAGCACAAAGGUAAUAGUAGUUAAAGAGGAAGCUCUAAAUAAUGCAUGCAAUGGUACUUAUUCUUCACUUAUGUGUAUAUUUGGUUUGUCUUCUGUCACUGGAAUGACUAUAAUUUCAGUUUAUCCCGAAAAGUUGGACCAGGAGACCAAAUAUUCACAAUUUCUAAAUGGUAAAAUUCUUCCACGGCAAGCACACCAACAUAUUUCAAGUCAACUUGUUCAGCCUGCUAAGUUAAUUUUAAUGUGGACAACUACUGGUGCUUAUUCUCUUCCAGAAUUAGAUAUAGAAUUUCAACCCAAUCAUUUUGUACCACUAAUUGAAUUUAAUCAAACUAAUAACUCAAGAGUUAAUAAUAAAAAAAAAAUUACUGACCACUUUAAAGUUGAUGUCUUACAGAAAAAUAAAAGUGGACUUGAGCAACAAAUAGACACAACUUUGGUAGCACCUGCAAAAUCCUCACCAAGGGAAGACUUAGAUGGCAGCAGCUAUGAUUGCUUGAAGACUUCCUUAAAACGUGGGUUAAAUUAGUGAUUGUUCAUGUGCAAAUAUAUUUUAAUUAUAGGACCUCUUUCAUGCCACUUUAAAGAUGGAAAAGUAUCAAAUGCUUCUUGUCCCUUGUCAAAAUCUGUAAAAACUGAUAUGACAGAUGUUGAUCCCUUGGAUAUUGGACAUUUUGUAUCUGUGGCGGCCCUAGAUGACGACACAAAGCUAAGACUUAUAACAAAUCACUGGAAGCCUCCCC